GAUGAAGAACGCAGCGAAAUGCGAUAAGUAAUGCGAAUUGCAGAAUCCGUGAGUCAUCGAAUCUUUGAACGCACAUUGCGCCCCUUGGUUAUUCCGAAGGGCAUGCCUGUCCGAGCGUCAUUUCAACCCUCAAGCCCCCGGGCUUGGUGUUGGGGAUCGGCGAGCCUCCGCGCCCGCCGUCCCCUAAAUCUAGUGGCGGUCUCGCUGUAGCUUCCUCUGCGUAGUAGCACACCUCGCACUGGGAAACAGCGCGGCCACGCCGUUAAACCCCCAACUUCUGAACGUUUGACCUCGGAUCAGGUAGGAAUACCCGCUGAACUUAAGCAUAUCAAUAAGCGGAGGA
Molecule: unclassified non-coding RNA, 343 nt
Filed under: soil metagenome
Description: partial contains 5.8S ribosomal RNA, internal transcribed spacer 2, and large subunit ribosomal RNA
Rfam family: 5.8S ribosomal RNA (bases 1-120)
Source: RNAcentral